Molecule: microRNA precursor, 106 nt
Filed under: Canis lupus familiaris (dog)
Lineage: Eukaryota; Metazoa; Chordata; Mammalia; Carnivora; Canidae
Also listed under: 1 other name
Description: mir-8834 microRNA precursor family
Rfam family: mir-8834 microRNA precursor family
Source: Rfam by way of RNAcentral
AGGCGAACAACCACAGUGGCAGCGGCCAGCUCUGGAGCCCUGGAUUCAGCUCCUGCAGUAACUACGGAGCUCUCAGUGUGCAGGGGCCUGGAUGCUCCAGGUUUGG